CUCCCGGCGCAGGUGCCGCAGAGCAGGGAGGCGGGUAACGCCCGCGGUCACGUCGCCCGAGAGUAGGAGCCGGACCCAGUCCUCUGGCCGCGGCCUCCACGGGCCAGACUCCACCAACUCCUCCCGGGCAUGGGAUCCAGCGGAGAACCGACGCCAACAGCUCUGGAGCUCCCGAGUUCCCCUCGUCCUGGCACCCACCUCCCAUGGGGCGACCACUACGCUCGCUGGAUGACAUCUCCGUGUCACCCUGCUUCGCGUUCCUUCCAGUCCUAAACUCCAAGAUUCAUGAAGCAAAACUCAAAACACUAAAGUUUAGUUCCAGGAAAGGAAUUUCAAGGUCAUCACUCUUGACUGCCCUCUAAAGAGCAUCAAGUAAGUACUCGGGCACUAACUCUUCCAAACUCUGAA
This is a long non-coding RNA of Myotis myotis, 408 nucleotides long. RefSeq lists it as uncharacterized. The transcript has 3 exons. The record is from RefSeq and is a predicted model, not a curated record. Lineage: Eukaryota; Metazoa; Chordata; Mammalia; Chiroptera; Vespertilionidae.